Molecule: long non-coding RNA, 1712 nt
Organism: Macaca fascicularis (crab-eating macaque)
Lineage: Eukaryota; Metazoa; Chordata; Mammalia; Primates; Cercopithecidae
Source: Ensembl
UUUUUUUUUUUUUGCUUCUGGAUUCCAAAUAUUCUUUUCCUAUACUUUUUUUAUGCAUGCUCUCAAGGAAUUAUGGAUAUCGAAUUAGCAUUGUUAAAUUAUUCUUCCAUUAUGACUGUGGACACUGUCAGUAUACAAAAUGAGUAGAAAGAGGAAUCUUAAUGUCUUCUUUGGAAAGCUGACAACCAAUUAGAGGAUACAAAUGAUAUGCAUACAGCAUUGGAGAAUGUUUAAGAUAGGAUAUAGAGACUUUUUUUGUAGAUUGUGAAAUAAAAGUGUAAAGAUGAUAUAAAAAGAAGGUGAAGACAAACACAAUAGCAAUUUCUUCAUGAAUUUUAUAGGGCCUGCCCAACUCAGAAGUUCACACUUAAGUUCAUUAGCAACUUUAUUCAUAUAAUUAUUUUUACUGUGAGUGAAAACAUUCUUACAAAAACAGCAAGCAUAUCUAAAAUAAUAUUGUAUUUCCUUUAACAACAACAUUAUUCUAGCACACAAUUUGACUUAAUGUGGUGCAGGUGCCAGAGUUUUUGUGCUGUUGACGAUGAUUCACAGAGCUUAAACACUUUUUUAAAAAGUAAGCUUAGGUUUAUUGUCAGUAUAGUUUUGAUAUUUCCACAAAAAUAUUUUAUAUGUUUUUCAACAAUUCUGACAUUGAUAUUUCAGCCCAUAAUUUUUCUGAAGUUCUAAGCUGUUUAAAUAAGAAGCUGAGGGAAAAGGUAAUACAAACAAUAUAAAAAUCACUUCAACUAAGCACCCACUUACUACUCAUAGUGAUGAUGAGAAUCUCAAAUAGACCUGGUGAAAAACAUAGGGUACAUGUUUACAUUACUUCAGGAAAAUACACAGAUUUGGCAAAAGACUACACUAAUGCCAGUGACAUGUAAAUUAACACUGGCUUUUCACAUCCUUCUACUUAAUAUCAGAGACAAGAAAUUAAAUAGGAGGAGUGCAGAAGUAGAUAUUUCUUAUCAAGAUAGCUUUAGAAGGAGAAGCCAAACAUAGGGUUUUAUGUAUAUUUGUCCUCCCCGCAAGAUCUAGACUGCCAACACUGAGCCUCAUAGGCUAGUCAGCUGGGUAAAUAAAAAAUGUGCCUUGCUGUGAUAUUAUCUUCACAAUUAAGAAUACCAUUAUAUUGCAUUUUAUUUAUUGUCAUUCCUUCUUUUUCAUAAAACAUAAACAAAAUGUUUUGCCUUUACUUAUUAAAUAAUUAUUUCUUUAAAACACAAAAGAACUGAUUGAAAAACUAGUUGUCUCUAUACCAAUACAUAAAUGCACGUUUAGAAAUAAUAUAUGAUUAAUUUAAAAUAUUUCCAGAUUGUGAUAUAUUGCCUCUAUAUUAUUCUUAAAGAAUUUUAGCAAAACAAGUUAUUCACAAUUGCUGAAAAACGUAUCUUGAUAAAUAUAUUUUCUCAAAUAUUAAAUAUUUAUUUCUAUUUAAAAUGACUGUGAAAACAAAAAUCUUUAUAUUUUUGAAUAAUUGAGAAAUGUUCAGAAAACAAUUUAAUUAAGAAACUGACAUAAAACUUGCCUACAAAUAGGAAAAGUACCUAUAAUACAUCAUAAAGAUGAAAUUUUAACUACAAUAUAGUGUUAGAAUCUAUGAUUUCCAUAUAUUUUAGGAUGAUAUAUAAAUCUUUGUUUUAUAGAAACCAGUUUAUUCACAUUGAGCAACACAUUUUUCAUUUGAGAGUAAACAUCUCCCUCUUCUGGAA